CUCAGAGGUUCUUCCAGCUUGCCAGAUGAGAUUCCUGAAUAUCUGUCAGAAUGUCAGAUGAUUUGAGGAAACAGACAGAGUCCAGUACAUACCAACCAAUGGCAAGAGUAAAAUGUUCAAGAAAAAGAAGUAUUGGUGUGAUUUCAAAGGAGAAUUACGACUGCCUUAGAUUAAAACUUGAAGGAGGUGACAUUCCCAAGGAUAGCAAGACU
This is a long non-coding RNA of Haliotis rufescens (red abalone), 212 nucleotides long. RefSeq lists it as uncharacterized. The record is from RefSeq and is a predicted model, not a curated record. The transcript has 3 exons. Lineage: Eukaryota; Metazoa; Mollusca; Gastropoda; Lepetellida; Haliotidae.